Peromyscus leucopus (white-footed mouse) is the source of this 7002-nucleotide long non-coding RNA. RefSeq lists it as uncharacterized. Lineage: Eukaryota; Metazoa; Chordata; Mammalia; Rodentia; Cricetidae. The transcript has 2 exons. The record is from RefSeq and is a predicted model, not a curated record.
UUUCACACACAAAAAAGAAUUUCUUGAGCACAGUAUUUGCACACCGUAUCACAUAUUCUGUGGAAGUUAACGAUUGUGAGAAAAUGAUCUCUGUGUAUUUAUGUAUUCAUAAGUAUAUACAAAUAUAUAUGUGUAUGUACCUGAGCACAUGUGUAUGUCCGUGUUGAGGUCAGUGUCAGGUAUCUUUCUCAAUUGCUGUCCACCUUAUUUAUGUAUGUAUGUACAUGUGCACAUAGCAUACAGGUGUGUGUACACAUAGAUAUUGGAUGUCUUCCUCAAUCAGUAUCCACACUAGUUUUUGAGACAGUACUUCUACUAUACUUAGAGCUCAACAAUUUGACUAGACUAGAUGGCCAGCAAGACCCAAGUCUCCUCAUGUCUAUCUGCCCCAGUGUGAAAAUUACAGGUGUGUGCUACCAUGCCUACAUUUUGUGCAGGAGUCCUAGAGCUCAGGCACUCAUGCUUAUGCUACAGCCCUUAAGCCAUCUCCCCAGUACCCUAAUGUGGUCUUACACUUUAAUAGUUAGCUCAUAAUUUACUAGGGAAAACUACACCCUGAUUCUAUAGAUAUGCUGUAGAUAGAAUGGCGUGUCUUUUAAAGAAGCCUGAGAGAAGACUCGGCUAAAGCUAUAAAGCAUUUAGAGAGCUUCUAGGGUUUAGAAUCACAGGGUGGAGGAAACAUUUCCAGUGGGAGUCAAAAGUAGAGAUAGUGGCAGGAUUGGCAUCCAGAGAUGAGUAAGUUAGAAGGGGUUGGGACGUGUCAGACAGGAAGUUGAAGUGUGGGGAACUGAAGUGGAAUAGGAGGGCAGAGAGCAGGGGCUGGUCAACACUGUAAGCCAAACAGAAUGCAAAUUGCACACUUGAGGUCAAACUGAGAGACUCUACUUCCAAUGAUGAACAAAUCACUUUGUAACAUCAUCCCAUUACAGGGAUAAUGCUCAUGACCUUUGACAUUUCCUAAUUUCCAUUGACUGUAAAUUAGAUUUUUGUUGUCCUAGAGAUGAGGAAAAUAAUGCUAGAAAAUCUUCCUGGAAACAUUUCCUCCCUUAUGUCUCACACAUGGAAUUUUAAGUUUUUACUGGCUCCAUUAUUGUGAGCUCCCAACAACCCCAAUCAGAAGUUUGGGCCCCAUCUCAGGAAUCAGUCUCUCUUGCUGAGGCAUUAAGUGAUCAGACUCAAUCAGAGAAGUUGAAAUAUCAAGGGACAUUAUUAUAGAGAACAUGAGGGCCAAGCUGAACUUUCUAGACUGAGGAGACACCAUCUACAAAGGAACUCAGAUGUAACAUUAAAAGUUCAUAUUCUCAAUCAUACUAGCUUCAUUGCAGAUGUUCAAUAGGUAUGUGUACCUGGUAGGUGCCAUAUUGGGAAACAUAUAGCCCCAGAAAGUCCUUUGUUUUCAAACUGGUCUAGUCCACCCUAUAUAUUAGGUUGGUCUUGGACCACAUACUGAGACCUGUGAAUAAAGAUUUUUUGCUUUCUUGGUAUUCUGCAUAGUUUUUCGAGACCUGGAGCCAUGGGUUUAAGUUAGAAAAAGAAAGAAACAAAAACCAAUUCAAUGGAAAGAGAAGAGAGUUUCUUAUAAUUUGGUUGUGGGAAGAUCAGAAGUAACAACUGUACCAAUAGUAUCCUGUAUCUUUGCCUUUAUGCAUCCUCUGUCUCUUCUCUUCCCUUCAGUAAUUUAAACUGAGGAGGUCCUGAGAUUGCAGUUAAUAUUUUUCUUGCCUGUGAGAGCUAGAUGAACCUUUGGAGGGUAAACACCUAUAUUACAAAGAGAUGGUCUGUGGCUGUGUCUAAAUUUCAUUCUGCUUAUCUGUAAAGCAUGCAGUUUGGGUCAUAUAAUAUCUAAGGUCAUCCGAGAUCACAUAGUUUUUAUUUUUAACUAUGGUUUCCCAUAAUUCCUGACUCAGAAUGGGAAUGAUGCAAGUAUUUUUAUUUUCUGUGGAAGUAUGUGUGUAUAGUUCAUGUCUGUGAGAGUCUGUGCUUGAUCCUUCUGUCUACUUUGGCAGAGAUUCAAGAUAAUAAAUGCUAGGGAAUAAAGAUGCUGUGCUUUUUUAUUCUGAAUUUUAAUUUACUCAGUUAUUUAAAGAAUAGAUGGUCUGGUUGCCUGUUGCUAUACAGCAAAGUGUCCUAAAUUUUUUGUGGCUCAAUUCAGCCACAACUUAUUUUCCUAUUGGUUCCACCAUCUGCAUAGAGCUCACUAUUUCCUGAUAUCAAGCACUCAACCUGGACUUUGAGGCUGGAGAUUACUCAAUGCUGGGGCUAGACUCAUCUUGUAAGUACACUUAUUUAUGUGUAAGUGGUUGCUGCUACAUGUUGGCUGGGAUUUACCUGCCCAAAAUACCUGCACAUGACACAUCACUAGGAGAUAAUUUGGAAUUACUCUCAGUGUGAUAGCUUCAGAAUACAUGUUCCACUUAAGGUAGAAGGACAUAGCAUCAUAAUGACCUACACUUGGAAGAUCAGCAGCAUCAUUUCUGCUGUGUUGAAGGCACAGACCAAGAGCUAUUUCAGUUCAUGGAGAAAGCACAUACUUAUCCAUGGAGUAACUGUAUUCUUUCAAGAAUAGAUUGGAAUAGGCAGCCAUGAUGUCUUAAAUGGUGGUCCCAAAAGUUAUGUUCUAGGCUUACUUCCUGGUAACUGUGAGUGUUACCUAAUUUGGCAAAGGAUAUUAAUUUGCCUAUAUUAAGGAUCUUGAGAUGAGGGUGCACAUUUUUCUUAAUUUUGGGGGGCAGGGGUCCCAAUUCAAUGACUAGAAUUCUAUUGACAGUGAGGCAAGUGGAAGUAGAAAAAUAGACACGUGUAACCACAGAAUCUGAGAGAAUGGGUUGACAAGUUGAGGGAUUGUAAUAGCUGCCAGAAAGUGGUAGGGUGUGUGUGUGUGUGUGUGUGUGUGUGUGUGUGUGUGUGUGUGUGUGUGUGUGUGUGUGUGCGCGCGCGCGCGCGCAUGUGCAUGUGCAUGUAAUAGACAAUGAGGGUUAAAAACUAGUUGACUAAUUGGAAUGGAUUUAUGUGGGGACAAAAAUCAAGCUACAAAGGCACACUGGGACAUUUCUAAAUGGGCUUUAAGGUAGAAAUAGAAAUACUUGUCUCCAGGUACUCUCUCUUCACAUUCAUUAUUUUGGUCUGAACUAGACCAAAAUGGUCCUAAUGUUCUCAGUCACAGGAGCUAAUAAAAGUUGUCUAACUUGGUUAACUUCUUUUCUGCUCUAAAUUGUUAACGAUUCAGUAUUUCAUGGCUGUGUCAGGUGCUCUCAGAGGCACCUUCCUUAAAGGUCAGUCACUCUCCAGAAAUGCUCAGCAUCCAGUAUUAAAAUUAAAGAUCCUGCUCUGUGACCUUGAGAGGAUACUUAUUUAUUUGCUACACAGCUCAAAAGGCUGGGGUAUACACGGAGAGACCAGAAAAAAUAGAGUGCUGAAGGGGUAUGAGCUGGAGGAUGAAGACUCUGCAGGUUGCUACUAACAAGGGUUCAGAAUUCCUUGUCUGCCCAAACAAUUAACAGUGUCAUGUGUUCUGUCUUACUUCAUCCUCUUAGUAGGCAUAGGAAACAACCAUUAUCAUCAGUACAUCUCAGAUGCAGAACCAGGCUUAGAGAAGUGAGGCAAUUACCUGUCUAGAAGCAUUUUCAGAGCCUGCACAAUAUUGCAUGAAGGGCACAUUACUAUUCUGUGCCACCCUGGUACUCAAUGAAUGAUUUAUGCAUUUUAUUCAUUUAUUAUGAUGUUAUGAUGUCUGACAAUAAGUUCACAAUAAAUGUUGACAUGAGAGCCCUUUUGUCACCUGCUUGGGUUGCUGGGAUAACACGUACAAGGCUAAAACACACAUUCCACCAGGGAGAGAGGUAGGUGCGUGACACUUUUCUCCUUAUGAUGUUGUUAAAGAGGGAUUGCUUUCUGACAUUCAUAGGCACAAAAAAUAGAAUGAUUUUUGUGAGUAAGUCUAAGGCAAAUUGGUAAGAGAAAUAAGUGUAGACAGCAAAGCAGUAGUCAUUUGAAACUAAUUGGCCUCUAAUUACUAAGAUUCAUGGGAGGUUGACGGGACUUGUUGGUUUUUAUCUCCCACUACAAUCUGGAAAGUAAAUGAGUCAUGUAUUGAAGAAUAAAGAAAAAAAAAAAACAGUGGUCUUUUCCUCUUACAACAUGUGGUUUCCAGGUUAGGUUUCUAGCUUUGCUCCACUCCAGUCAAGGAACAUGUUUCCCCAUUAAUUAGGAAUGCUGCAACUCCAAAUGCAUCCAGUUUAUUUUCUUAUCUUUUUUCUUUAUAGACAGGGCUAUGUCUGUGUUUACAUACCACAGAAUUAUUCUGAGCAGGACUGAGAACAGUUCAAAUAAGGAAUCCUCUAGAACUUGUAUUAAAACCAUAUUUUAACUCUGGUUAUGAUUUUACCCUCUGUAGGUAGUUGGUAACUGAUAUCUGAUUUGAGGGAUAUUUUUUAUGGUAAAAGUAUGAGACACAUAAUCUAUAACCAAGGCUAUUUUAUACUCAGAAAAAAAAUGGUAUUAGGAUUGAUGUAGAAGGUUUUCUCACACAACACUUGUAAAGGAGAAAGAAAGACAACCACAGGCUUCAAACUCAGGUGGCAAGGGCUUUCCUCUGAGACACUUAACUAGGAUGGCGGUGACAAACUGAAGGGAGAGAGAUCCAGGUAGCUGGUGUCCCUAUCCUAGACUUUGCAAUGUUUCCAAUAGUGGAAUAGAGGAUGAAGGUUCCUGUGCCUAACCAGGCACACCGGAGCCCACCGUUGCAUUGCUGGCUGAGGCAGAGUGUAUCUUGGACUAUGGAUGCUCUGUUCUUUGCCCUUCUUCUGUCCCUCUACUAUUUACACUGUGACCAUGGUAACCCGGACUUUGUUUAUCACAUAUAAUUAAUUCACAGGAACUUCUAUAAGCUGUGCCUUGUGCAACUUCUCUCUUUUUUGUUAGUUUUUUAUAUACUUUGCUUUUGUUUGUUAGUUUGUUAGUUCUCAUCUGUCAAUGAGGUUGUCUAAAGACGAAUCUCCCAGCCAUUUUCUGAAAACACCAGAAUGAACUUGACCAGAGUCCAUCAUCCUGGCCAGUAUUGAAUUACAGCUUGCUUCAACCUUCACUGAAAAAAACAAAAAGAUUAAUCUCCAACAUAAGGGAGUUGUUAAGAUUUUUAAUAUCCUAUGCCAUAGAUAUGAUACCCAUAUGUUUCAAAAAUGAAAACCAGUUGAAAGGCUUUCAUAUUUAUCCUAGUCAGUUUUCUACAUUGAUGAAAGUCUGAGGAGCAGGCAAGAAGAUAGGCUUACACCUGCUACAGUGUAUACCCGGAAGGUCAGAGGACAACUUAUGGAAAUCAUUUAUUUUUUCAACCAUGUCUAACCUGGGGCUUGAACUCAUACCAUCAGCCUUGUCGGUAGGUGCCUUUACCAUCUGGGUCAUCUUGCCAUCCCAUGUUUGGUUCAUUUUAAACUCAUCUCCAUCUAAUGUAAAAAGCCAUGAAUGGGAAGUAGGGCGUGAAGUCCCUCUUGCACUCCCUUCAGAUCUUCAGCGUCGAGGGCAUAGAUUCGUCUGCCCUUGUGUUUCCAUUUGAACUGCCCUAAUGAGGAUAACAUUUCAGAAAAUGGGAAGUGUAGUAAUUUGCAUCUUCUUUUAUGCCAUCCCCAAGAGAUGCAGUCCUGAUUCUUGAUCACAAGCAAUAUUUGAUCUUUAAAUUCCCAGCUAAGAGUCACUCAUAAUUCUUCUGCCCAGACAUUAGAGCAGGCUUCAUUUGUGUUGGUGUUAGCAUGCAUGUCUUUUAGACAAUUUACAGAAGACUGCAAUUUCCUCUAAGAGGCAUUUGUAAGGGAGGACACUUACCAAUCCAAUUACAUUUUCAACUUCCCAUUUCUUUUUCUGUAACCUCCAAUAAUUUUGCUGGGCUUUAAAGAAAAACAUGAUCUUAUGCUAUUUUUAUAUCUUCUCCAGUCAAUGCUAAUUUCAAUUUUAAUGGUCUCUCUUUGGUAUCGCCUCUUCUAUUGAUUUGGUGAGAGUUACCUUUAAUCACUUAAGAAUAAGUAGUGCAUUAAGACUGCCCAAGGCUAGCCUAUAUUUGUGGGGGGAAAUCACUCCAUUUAAGAAUUCAUUUAACAAGAGUCUAUUCCACAUUUUACUUUGGAACUCCACCAGGGUACCUUCCAUCUGUAUGGAAGCAUUUAUUAUCCAGAAGAAAUUCAGCCUAACUUUAGAGACUACCACAGUGAACAAAACCUCCUGAAGUUUCCAGAAGUCUCAAUGAUUCUGACUGUAAUAAUCAUGUUUAACAUGUUCAGAGUUUUAGUGCUGAAAGAAAAAUGGGUGGAUAGUAGUUAUCAUUAAAAUACCUCCACUGACUUGCAGAUAUUAUAAAGCCACUUAGACCAUAAAACAAACCACAUAAAAGAGAUUGUGGCAAACUUAUGCCAAGAGAGCAUCAUGGUUUGGUUGAUGUAUUUAGUUGUAUUUGAUUGAUUGAUUGAUUGAUUAAGUGCAUGUGUGUGUGUGUGUGUGUGUGUGUGUGUGUGUGUGUGUGUGUGUGUGUUGUAUGUACAUGUGUGUACACAUGGAGACUAGAGGUUAAUGUAGGGAGGUUUCUUUGAUUUCUCUUUGAUGUCACUCAUGAGACAAAGGUUCUCACUGAACUUCAAGCGCAGCAAUUAACUAGUCUCACUAGUCAGUAAGCUGCCAGAUUCACCUCUCUGCACCGAGCCCUGGGAUUACAGGGGUGUGUUCUUUUGAUCUGAGCACUGGUUGCACAGCAAGUGCUUUACCUACCACACUUUCUGCCUAGAACCUGGACAAAUUUUACGUUUGUGUUCACAUCAACCAGUGAUCAGUACAGAGAUCUGGGAAUGGAAACACUUAUCAGACCGUGUUGCACGAGGGAUGAAAAGAAGCAAAGACCCUCAUACACCAUUUUAACCAUGGGAUGCUGACAAGGAGAGGAGAAAAAAUGAAAUAAUAGCUAGAGGGUGCUGUGGUAUCAGUAGACACUUAAUCUUUGUUUGUGGUAUGAAGAAACUGAUA